GCAAACUUGCUGAGGGUGCACUCAAUCCCACUGUCCAUGUCACCAACAAAGAUAUUAAACAAGAUAGGUCCCAACACCCGGCAUACAGGUCCCAACACCGAUCCCUG
Strigops habroptila (Kakapo) is the source of this 107-nucleotide long non-coding RNA. RefSeq lists it as uncharacterized. The transcript has 3 exons. NCBI's taxonomy places the organism in Eukaryota, Metazoa, Chordata, Aves, Psittaciformes, Psittacidae. The record is from RefSeq and is a predicted model, not a curated record.